GGAGCUCUCCCNUAUGGUCGACCUGCAGGCGGCCGCGAAUUCACUAGUGAUUAGAGUUUGAUCCUGGCUCAGAUUGAACGCUGGCGGCGUGCUUAACACAUGCAAGUCGAACGUGAAAGUCCUUCGGGGCGAGUAAAGUGGCGCACGGGUGAGUAACGCGUGGAUAAUCUACCCUUAAGAUGGGGAUAACGGCUGGAAACGGUCGCUAAUACCGAAUACGCUCCCGAUUUUAUCAUUGGGGGGAAAGAUGGCCUCUGCUUGCAAGCUAUCGCUUAAGGAUGAGUCCGCGUCCCAUUAGCUAGUUGGCGGGGUAACGGCCCACCAAGGCAACGAUGGGUAGCCGGUCUGAGAGGAUGACCGGCCACACUGGAACUGGAACACGGUCCAGACUCCUACGGGAGGCAGCAGUGGGGAAUAUUGCGCAAUGGGCGAAAGCCUGACGCAGCGACGCCGCGUGAGGGAUGAAGGUUCUCGGAUCGUAAACCUCUGUCAGGGGGGAAGAAACCCCCUCGUGUGAAUAAUGCGAGGGCUUGACGGUACCCCCAAAGGAAGCACCGGCUAACUCCGUGCCAGCAGCCGCGGUAAUACGGAGGGUGCAAGCGUUAAUCGGAAUCACUGGGCGUAAAGCGCACGUANGCGGCUUGGUAAGUCAGGGGUGAAAUCCCACAGCCCAACUGUGGAACUGCCUUUGAUACUGCCANNNUUGAGUACCGGAGAGGGUGGCGNAAUUC
RNAcentral lists this ribosomal RNA (731 nucleotides) under uncultured Bilophila sp. RNAcentral describes it as "bacterial SSU rRNA". It matches the Rfam family "Bacterial small subunit ribosomal RNA", at positions 1 to 669 of the family's 1533-position model. Lineage: Bacteria; Pseudomonadati; Thermodesulfobacteriota; Desulfovibrionia; Desulfovibrionales; Desulfovibrionaceae. The record is from RNAcentral.